AUACGUAGGUGGCAAGCGUUGUCCGGAAUUAUUGGGCGUAAAGCGCGCGCAGGUGGUUCCUUAAGUCUGAUGUGAAAGCCCCCGGCUCAACCGGGGAGGGUCAUUGGAAACUGGGGAACUUGAGUGCAGAAGAGGAUAGUGGAAUUCCAAGUGUAGCGGUGAAAUGCGUAGAGAUUUGGAGGAACACAAGUGGCGAAGGCGACUGUCGGGUCUGUAACUGACACUGAGGCGCGAAAGCGUGGGGAGCAAACAGGAUUAGAUCCCCUGGUAGUCCACGCCGUAAACGAUGAGUGCUAAGUGUUGGGGGGUUUCCGCCCCUCAGUGCUGCAGCUAACGCAUUAAGCACUCCGCCUGGGGAGUACGGUCGCAAGACUGAAACUCAAAGGAAUUGACGGGG
This 397-nucleotide ribosomal RNA is filed under the name uncultured bacterium. RNAcentral describes it as "partial 16S ribosomal RNA". It matches the Rfam family "Bacterial small subunit ribosomal RNA", at positions 523 to 918 of the family's 1533-position model. The record is from RNAcentral.